Molecule: small RNA, 883 nt
Filed under: Pongo abelii (Sumatran orangutan)
Lineage: Eukaryota; Metazoa; Chordata; Mammalia; Primates; Hominidae
Description: retained intron
Source: RNAcentral
GGUUCCGGCUGCGUUGGGCUUGCGUGCGGCUCGCUAAGACUAUGGCGUCCGGGCCUCAUUCGACAGCUACUGCUGCCGCCGCCGCCUCAUCGGCCGCCCCAAGCGCGGGCGGCUCCAGCUCCGGGACGACGACCACGACGACGACCACGACGGGAGGGAUCCUGAUCGGCGAUCGCCUGUACUCGGAAGUUUCACUCACCAUCGACCACUCUCUGAUUCCGGAGGAGAGGCUCUCGCCCACCCCAUCCAUGCAGGACGGGCUCGACCUGCCCAGCGAGACGGACUUACGCAUCCUGGGCUGCGAGCUCAUCCAGGCCGCCGGCAUUCUCCUCCGGCUGCCGCAGGUGGCGAUGGCAACGGGGCAGGUGUUGUUUCAUCGUUUUUUCUACUCCAAAUCUUUCGUCAAACACAGUUUCGAGAUUGUUGCUAUGGCUUGUAUUAAUCUUGCAUCAAAAAUCGAAGAAGCACCUAGAAGAAUAAGAGAUGUGAUUAAUGUAUUCCACCACCUCCGCCAGUUAAGAGGAAAAAGCGACCAGCUACAUUUACCAAAGCCUGGGUGAUGUGGAGUGGUACAUAGAGAUGAAGCUGUCGUCAUGGCAACAGACUCCAAGCCCCCUGAUCCUUGAUCAGAACUACAUUAACACCAAAAAUCAAGUUAUCAAAGCAGAGAGGAGGGUGCUAAAGGAGUUGGGAUUUUGUGUUCAUGUCAAGCAUCCUCAUAAGAUCAUUGUUAUGUAUUUACAAGUCUUAGAAUGUGAACGUAAUCAAACCCUGGUUCAAACUGCCUGGUAAGUCACUUUUUUAGAUUUCUUUCCUAGCCAGGAAAACAGAAGCAGAAAUAAAGUAAGUUUCGUUUUCCCUUUCCAAAAUAAUGAGAUAAGUU